RNAcentral lists this ribosomal RNA (544 nucleotides) under uncultured marine eukaryote. Its description in RNAcentral is "SSU rRNA". It matches the Rfam family "Eukaryotic small subunit ribosomal RNA", at positions 618 to 1171 of the family's 1831-position model. The record is from RNAcentral.
GUUAAAAAGCUCGUAGUUGGAUUUUGGUUAAGAGGGCGCGGUCGGCCGUUUGGUCUGUACUGCGUUGUCUUGACUUCCUGAUGAGGACAUGCUCUUGGUUAACGCUGAGACAUGGAGUCAUCGUGGCUACUUUGAAAAAAUUAGAGUGUUCAAAGCGGGCUUACGCUUGAAUAUAUUAGCAUGGAAUAACACUAUAGGACUCCUGUCCUAUCUCGUUGGUCUCGGGAUGGGAGUAAUGAUUAAGAGGAACAGUUGGGGGCAUUCGUAUUUCAUUGUCAGAGGUGAAAUUCUCGGAUUUAUGAAAGACGAACUUCUGCGAAAGCAUUUGCCAAGGAUGUUUUCAUUAAUCAAGAACGAAAGUUGGGGGCUCGAAGAUGAUUAGAUACCAUCCUAGUCUCAACCAUAAACGAUGCCGACUAGGGAUAGGUGGAUGUUAAUUGAUGACUUCACCAGCACCUUAUGAGAAAUCCAAAGUUUUUGGGUUCCGGGGGGAGUAUGGUCCGCAAGGCUGAAACUUAAAAGGAAUUGACGGAAGGGCACCACC